AGAGUUUGAUCCUGGCUCAGAUUGAACGCUGGCGGCAGGCCUAACACAUGCAAGUCGAGCGGUAGAGAGAAGCUUGCUUCUCUUGAGAGCGGCGGACGGGUGAGUAAUGCCUAGGAAUCUGCCUGGUAGUGGGGGAUAACGUUCGGAAACGGACGCUAAUACCGCAUACGUCCUACGGGAGAAAGCAGGGGACCUUCGGGCCUUGCGCUAUCAGAUGAGCCUAGGUCGGAUUAGCUAGUUGGUGAGGUAAUGGCUCACCAAGGCGACGAUCCGUAACUGGUCUGAGAGGAUGAUCAGUCACACUGGAACUGAGACACGGUCCAGACUCCUACGGGAGGCAGCAGUGGGGAAUAUUGGACAAUGGGCGAAAGCCUGAUCCAGCCAUGCCGCGUGUGUGAAGAAGGUCUUCGGAUUGUAAAGCACUUUAAGUUGGGAGGAAGGGCAGUAAAUUAAUACUUUGCUGUUUUGACGUUACCGACAGAAUAAGCACCGGCUAACUCUGUGCCAGCAGCCGCGGUAAUACAGAGGGUGCAAGCGUUAAUCGGAAUUACUGGGCGUAAAGCGCGCGUAGGUGGUUUGUUAAGUUGGAUGUGAAAUCCCCGGGCUCAACCUGGGAACUGCAUUCAAAACUGACUGACUAGAGUAUGGUAGAGGGUGGUGGAAUUUCCUGUGUAGCGGUGAAAUGCGUAGAUAUAGGAAGGAACACCAGUGGCGAAGGCGACCACCUGGACUAAUACUGACACUGAGGUGCGAAAGCGUGGAGAGCAAACAGGAUUAGAUACCCCGGUAGUCCACGCCGUAAACGAUGUCAACUAGCCGUUGGAAGCCUUGAGCUUUUAGUGGCGCAGCUAACGCAUUAAGUUGACCGCCUGGGGAGUACGGCCGCAAGGUUAAAACUCAAAUGAAUUGACGGGGGCCCGCACAAGCGGUGGAGCAUGUGGUUUAAUUCGAAGCAACGCGAAGAACCUUACCAGGCCUUGACAUCCAAUGAACUUUCUAGAGAUAGAUUGGUGCCUUCGGGAACAUUGAGACAGGUGCUGCAUGGCUGUCGUCAGCUCGUGUCGUGAGAUGUUGGGUUAAGUCCCGUAACGAGCGCAACCCUUGUCCUUAGUUACCAGCACGUAAUGGUAGGCACUCUAAGGAGACUGCCGGUGACAAACCGGAGGAAGGUGGGGAUGACGUCAAGUCAUCAUGGCCCUUACGGCCUGGGCUACACACGUGCUACAAUGGUCGGUACAGAGGGUUGCCAAGCCGCGAGGUGGAGCUAAUCCCAUAAAACCGAUCGUAGUCCGGAUCGCAGUCUGCAACUCGACUGCGUGAAGUCGGAAUCGCUAGUAAUCGCGAAUCAGAAUGUCGCGGUGAAUACGUUCCCGGGCCU
This 1378-nucleotide ribosomal RNA is filed under the name uncultured bacterium. Its description in RNAcentral is "16S ribosomal RNA". It matches the Rfam family "Bacterial small subunit ribosomal RNA", at positions 8 to 1381 of the family's 1533-position model. The record is from RNAcentral.